GAGCAAGUGGAUCUUGAAGCCUUCAGCUCCAGCACCUUCUACGACAUCCUACUCAAGCACAGCGUGUCUGUCACAAUACGUCUCGGGCAGCUCAGAGGAGAGGUGAAGCAGCUCUAUCAGGGGGUGCUGGGGAAGUUGAGAGAGCUCCACCCUGGCUGGAGGAUGUUUGGAGGGAAAACCGAAGGUCUGGAGAGGCAGGUGGAGCAGGAGAUGGUGCGACGAAGAGCACUGGGCAAUCAGCUGACACAGCUACUGGACAGCCAGCUGCAGAUCCUGCGGGUGGAGAUGAGAUCGCAGCAGGCCAUGCAGAAGACCUUCAGAGCGCGACUGAGAGAGAGCGCGAGGCUUCUGAGACUGCUGGCUGAGGGUCAGACCUCACUCUGGGAUAAACACAUUAAGCAACGUGUUCUGGAGCGGGUAGCUGUGCUGGCUGAUGAGAUGACUGAGAAGGUAUCAGUGGAGAGCCAGAGGCUGGGGGCCUGGGUUGUGCUUAAAGAGGGCACUGGAGCACAGCUAUUAUGCCCUGCUACUGGAUCAGUCCUCAGUAGGGAAGACAUCAUCGCUCCUGAUGGAUCUGUUAGAGCUUGUGAUGCCGUUCAUGUAAACCCCCUCACAGGCCUCAUUCAACCCAACUCUAAUGCCCAUAUGUUACUGGCCAGUGGACACAGCAUGCCAGUUCCCCCGGACUUCUUCCUGCACCCCCAGACUGGCAAACUACUGCCUGUGGCUGGAAACGUGGGCUUUGAUCCUGCUUCCUCCAUCCUUGUCUUUACAGCCGAUGCUUGUGUGGGUGAGGUGGGAAAAUGGGAAUCACCCCUGCUGCCUUUCAUACCGUACCCUCCAUCCCGCCAUGCUGAAAUCCAU
RNAcentral lists this long non-coding RNA (864 nucleotides) under Sinocyclocheilus grahami. RNAcentral's name for it is "lncRNA (ENSSGRG00000037825.1)". The record is from RNAcentral. Lineage: Eukaryota; Metazoa; Chordata; Actinopteri; Cypriniformes; Cyprinidae.